UACGUAGGGUCCGAGCGUUGUCCGGAAUUACUGGGCGUAAAGAGCUCGUAGGUGGUUUGUCGCGUUGUCCGUGAAAACUCACAGCUCAACUGUGGGCGUGCGGGCGAUACGGGCAGACUGGAGUACUGCAGGGGAGACUGGAAUUCCUGGUGUAGCGGUGGAAUGCGCAGAUAUCAGGAGGAACACCGGUGGCGAAGGCGGGGUCUCUGGGCAGUAACUGACGCUGAGGAGCGAAAGCGUGGGGAGCGAACAGGA
This 255-nucleotide ribosomal RNA is filed under the name uncultured bacterium. Its description in RNAcentral is "partial 16S ribosomal RNA". It matches the Rfam family "Bacterial small subunit ribosomal RNA", at positions 524 to 777 of the family's 1533-position model. The record is from RNAcentral.